GAUGAACGCUAGCGGCAGGCCUAAUACAUGCAAGUCGAACGGGAUCCAGAUCAAAGCUUGCUUUGGUCUGGUGAGAGUGGCGCACGGGUGCGUAACGCGUGAUCACCCUACCCUUGUCAGGGGGAUAGCCCGGCGAAAGUCGGAUUAAUACCGCAUGACAUCAUUGUGAGGCAUCUUUCGAUGAUCAAAGAUUUAUCGGACAAGGCUGGGCUCGCGUGACAUUUGCUAGUUGGUAAGGUAACGGCUUGCCAAGGCUGGGAUGUCUAGGGGCUCUGAGAGGAGAAUCCCUCAGACUGGUACUGGGAAAAGGACGAGAGAGAUACGGCAGGCAGCAGUAAGGAAGAUAGGAGAAGGGACGGAAGUCUGAACCAGCCAAGCCGCGUGCAGGAAGACGGCGUGAUGGGUGGUAAACUGCUUGUAUACGGGAACAAACGUCGGUAAGGGUACCGGACUGAGUGUACAGUAAAAAUAAGGAUCGGCUAACUACGUG
This 490-nucleotide ribosomal RNA is filed under the name uncultured bacterium. RNAcentral describes it as "partial 16S ribosomal RNA". It matches the Rfam family "Bacterial small subunit ribosomal RNA", at positions 28 to 507 of the family's 1533-position model. The record is from RNAcentral.